AGAGUUUGAUCAUGGCUCAGAGCGAACGCUGGCGGCAGGCUUAACACAUGCAAGUCGAGCGGGCGUAGCAAUACGUCAGCGGCAGACGGGUGAGUAACGCGUGGGAACGUACCUUUUGGUUCGGAACAACCCAGGGAAACUUGGGCUAAUACCGGAUAAGCCCUUCGGGGGAAAGAUUUAUCGCCGAAAGAUCGGCCCGCGUCUGAUUAGCUAGUUGGUGAGGUAACGGCUCACCAAGGCGACGAUCAGUAGCUGGUCUGAGAGGAUGAUCAGCCACAUUGGGACUGAGACACGGCCCAAACUCCUACGGGAGGCAGCAGUGGGGAAUAUUGGACAAUGGGCGCAAGCCUGAUCCAGCCAUGCCGCGUGAGUGAUGAAGGCCCUAGGGUUGUAAAGCUCUUUUGUGCGGGAAGAUAAUGACGGUACCGCAAGAAUAAGCCCCGGCUAACUUCGUGCCAGCAGCCGCGGUAAUACGAAGGGGGCUAGCGUUGCUCGGAAUCACUGGGCGUAAAGGGUGCGUAGGCGGGUCUUUAAGUCAGGGGUGAAAUCCUGGAGCUCAACUCCAGAACUGCCUUUGAUACUGAAGAUCUUGAGUUCGGGAGAGGUGAGUGGAACUGCGAGUGUAGAGGUGAAAUUCGUAGAUAUUCGCAAGAACACCAGUGGCGAAGGCGGCUCACUGGCCCGAUACUGACGCUGAGGCACGAAAGCGUGGGGAGCAAACAGGAUUAGAUACCCUAGUAGUCC
This 744-nucleotide ribosomal RNA is filed under the name uncultured bacterium. RNAcentral describes it as "bacterial SSU rRNA". It matches the Rfam family "Bacterial small subunit ribosomal RNA", at positions 8 to 796 of the family's 1533-position model. The record is from RNAcentral.